CUACGGGCGGCUGCAGUGAGGAAUAUUGGUCAAUGGACGGAAGUCUGAACCAGCCAUCCCGCGUGCAGGAAGACGGCCCUAUGGGUUGUAAACUGCUUUUCUGAAGGAAGAAUAAUUCCGAGUUUCUCGGGAGAUGACGGUACUUCAGGAAUAAGCAUCGGCUAACUCCGUGCCAGCAGCCGCGGUAAUACGGAGGAUGCAAGCGUUAUCCGGAUUUAUUGGGUUUAAAGGGUGCGUAGGCGGAUAAGUAAGUCAGUGGUGAAAUCUCUCGGCUCAACCGGGAAACUGCCAUUGAUACUGUUUAUCUUGAGUUCGGCAGAGGUAGGCGGAAUGUGUAAUGUAGCGGUGAAAUGCUUAGAUAUUACACAGAACACCAAUUGCGUAGGCAGCUUACUAUACCGACACUGACGCUGAGGCACGAAAGCGUGGGGAGCGAACAGGAUUAGAUACCCUGGUAGUC
Molecule: ribosomal RNA, 460 nt
Filed under: uncultured bacterium
Lineage: Bacteria
Description: partial 16S ribosomal RNA
Rfam family: Bacterial small subunit ribosomal RNA
Source: RNAcentral